CCUACGGGGGGCUGCAGUGGGGAAUAUUGGACAAUGGGCGAAAGCCUGAUCCAGCCAUGCCGCGUGUGUGAAGAAGGCCUUCGGGUUGUAAAGCACUUUCAGUGGGGAAGAAAGCCUUGGGGCUAAUACCCUCGAGGAAGGACAUCACCCACAGAAGAAGCACCGGCUAACUCCGUGCCAGCAGCCGCGGUAAUACGGAGGGUGCGAGCGUUAAUCGGAAUUACUGGGCGUAAAGCGCGCGUAGGCGGUCUGAUAAGCCGGUUGUGAAAGCCCCGGGCUCAACCUGGGAACGGCAUCCGGAACUGUCAGGCUAGAGUGCAGGAGAGGAAGGUAGAAUUCCCGGUGUAGCGGUGAAAUGCGUAGAGAUCGGGAGGAAUACCAGUGGCGAAGGAGGUCUUCUGGACUGACACUGACGCUGAGGUGCGAAAGCGUGGGUAGCAAACAGGAUUAGAUACCCUGGUAGUC
Molecule: ribosomal RNA, 465 nt
Filed under: Vreelandella stevensii
Lineage: Bacteria; Pseudomonadati; Pseudomonadota; Gammaproteobacteria; Oceanospirillales; Halomonadaceae
Description: partial 16S ribosomal RNA
Rfam family: Bacterial small subunit ribosomal RNA
Source: RNAcentral